GGGUUGUGAGGUUAAGCGACUAAGCGUACACGGUGGAUGCCCUGGCAGUCAGAGGCGAUGAAGGACGUGCUAAUCUGCGAAAAGCGUCGGUAAGGUGAUAUGAACCGUUAUAACCGGCGAUGUCCGAAUGGGGAAACCCAGUGCAAUUCGUUGCACUAUCGUUAACUGAAUACAUAGGUUAACGAGGCGAACCGGGGGAACUGAAACAUCUAAGUACCCCGAGGAAAAGAAAUCAACCGAGAUUCCCCCAGUAGCGGCGAGCGAACGGGGAGCAGCCCAGAGUCUGAAUCAGCUUGUGUGUUAGUGGAACGGUCUGGAAAGUCCGACGGUACAGGGUGAUAGUCCCGUACACCAAAAUGCACAGGUUGUGAACUCGAAGAGUAGGGCGGGACACGUGGUAUCCUGUCUGAAUAUGGGGGGACCAUCCUCCAAGGCUAAAUACUCCUGACUGACCGAUAGUGAACCAGUACCGUGAGGGAAAGGCGAAAAGAACCCCGGCGAGGGGAGUGAAAAAGAACCUGAAACCGUGUACGUACAAGCAGUGGGAGCACCUUCGGGUGUGACUGCGUACCUUUUGUAUAAUGGGUCAGCGACUUAUAUUCUGUAGCAAGGUUAACCGUAUAGGGGAGCCGCAGGGAAACCGAGUCUUAACUGGGCGUUAAGUUGCAGGGUAUAGACCCGAAACCCGGUGAUCUAGCCAUGGGCAGGUUGAAGGUUGGGUAACACUAACUGGAGGACCGAACCGACUAAUGUUGAAAAAUUAGCGGAUGACUUGUGGCUGGGGGUGAAAGGCCAAUCAAACCGGGAGAUAGCUGGUUCUCCCCGAAAGCUAUUUAGGUAGCGCCUCGUGAACUCAUCUUCGGGGGUAGAGCACUGUUUCGGCUAGGGGGUCAUCCCGACUUACCAACCCGAUGCAAACUACGAAUACCGAAGAAUGUUAUCACGGGAGACACACGGCGGGUGCUAACGUCCGUCGUGAAGAGGGAAACAACCCAGACCGCCAGCUAAGGUCCCAAAGUCAUGGUUAAGUGGGAAACGAUGUGGGAAGGCACAGACAGCCAGGAUGUUGGCUUAGAAGCAGCCAUCAUUUAAAGAAAGCGUAAUAGCUCACUGGUCGAGUCGGCCUGCGCGGAAGAUGUAACGGGGCUAAACCAUGCACCGAAGCUGCGGCAGCGACACUAUGUGUUGUUGGGUAGGGGAGCGUUCUGUAAGCCUGCGAAGGUGACCUGUGAGGGUUGCUGGAGGUAUCAGAAGUGCGAAUGCUGACAUAAGUAACGAUAAAGCGGGUGAAAAGCCCGCUCGCCGGAAGACCAAGGGUUCCUGUCCAACGUUAAUCGGGGCAGGGUGAGUCGACCCCUAAGGCGAGGCCGAAAGGCGUAGUCGAUGGGAAACAGGUUAAUAUUCCUGUACUUGGUGUUACUGCGAAGGGGGGACGGAGAAGGCUAUGUUAGCCGGGCGACGGUUGUCCCGGUUUAAGCAUGUAGGCUGGUUGUCCAGGCAAAUCCGGAUAAUCAAGGCUGAGGUGUGAUGACGAGGCACUACGGUGCUGAAGUAACAAAUGCCCUGCUUCCAGGAAAAGCCUCUAAGCAUCAGGUAACAUCAAAUCGUACCCCAAACCGACACAGGUGGUCAGGUAGAGAAUACCAAGGCGCUUGAGAGAACUCGGGUGAAGGAACUAGGCAAAAUGGUGCCGUAACUUCGGGAGAAGGCACGCUGGUGUGUAGGUGAAGUCCCUGCGGAUGGAGCUGAGACCAGUCGAAGAUACCAGCUGGCUGCAACUGUUUAUUAAAAACACAGCACUGUGCAAACACGAAAGUGGACGUAUACGGUGUGACGCCUGCCCGGUGCCGGAAGGUUAAUUGAUGGGGUUAUCCGUAAGGAGAAGCUCUUGAUCGAAGCCCCGGUAAACGGCGGCCGUAACUAUAACGGUCCUAAGGUAGCGAAAUUCCUUGUCGGGUAAGUUCCGACCUGCACGAAUGGCGUAAUGAUGGCCAGGCUGUCUCCACCCGAGACUCAGUGAAAUUGAACUCGCUGUGAAGAUGCAGUGUACCCGCGGCAAGACGGAAAGACCCCGUGAACCUUUACUAUAGCUUGACACUGAACAUUGAGCCUUGAUGUGUAGGAUAGGUGGGAGGCUUUGAAGCGUGGACGCCAGUCUGCGUGGAGCCAACCUUGAAAUACCACCCUUUAAUGUUUGAUGUUCUAACGUUGGCCCCUGACCGGGGUUGCGGACAGUGUCUGGUGGGUAGUUUGACUGGGGCGGUCUCCUCCCAAAGCGUAACGGAGGAGCACGAAGGUUAGCUAAUCCUGGUCGGACAUCAGGAGGUUAGUGCAAUGGCAUAAGCUAGCUUGACUGCGAGCGUGACGGCGCGAGCAGGUGCGAAAGCAGGUCAUAGUGAUCCGGUGGUUCUGAAUGGAAGGGCCAUCGCUCAACGGAUAAAAGGUACUCCGGGGAUAACAGGCUGAUACCGCCCAAGAGUUCAUAUCGACGGCGGUGUUUGGCACCUCGAUGUCGGCUCAUCACAUCCUGGGGCUGAAGUAGGUCCCAAGGGUAUGGCUGUUCGCCAUUUAAAGUGGUACGCGAGCUGGGUUUAGAACGUCGUGAGACAGUUCGGUCCCUAUCUGCCGUGGGCGCUGGAGAAUUGAGGGGGGCUGCUCCUAGUACGAGAGGACCGGAGUGGACGCAUCACUGGUGUUCGGGUUGUCAUGCCAAUGGCACUGCCCGGUAGCUAAAUGCGGAAGAGAUAAGUGCUGAAAGCAUCUAAGCACGAAACUUGCCCCGAGAUGAGUUCUCCCUGAGACUUUAAGUCUCCUGAAGGAACGUUGAAGACGACGACGUUGAUAGGCCGGGUGUGUAAGCGCAGCGAUGCGUUGAGCUAACCGGUACUAAUGAACCGUGAGGCUUAACCUUACAACGCCGAAG
Molecule: ribosomal RNA, 2923 nt
Filed under: Klebsiella pneumoniae
Lineage: Bacteria; Pseudomonadati; Pseudomonadota; Gammaproteobacteria; Enterobacterales; Enterobacteriaceae
Description: 23S ribosomal RNA
Rfam family: Bacterial large subunit ribosomal RNA
Source: RNAcentral